CCGAGUUAUACAACUCAUCAACCCUGUGAACAUACCUAAAACGUUGCUUCGGCGGGAACAGACGGCCCUGUAACAACGGGCCGCCCCCGCCAGAGGACCCCUAACUCUGUUUUUAUAAUGUUUUUCUGAGUAAACAAGCAAAUAAAUUAAAACUUUCAACAACGGAUCUCUUGGCUCUGGCAUCGAUGAAGAACGCAGCGAAAUGCGAUAAGUAAUGUGAAUUGCAGAAUUCAGUGAAUCAUCGAAUCUUUGAACGCACAUUGCGCCCGCCAGUAUUCUGGCGGGCAUGCCUGUUCGAGCGUCAUUACAACCCUCAGGCCCCCGGGCCUGGCGUUGGGGAUCGGCGGAAGCCCCCUGUGGGCACACGCCGUCCCUCAAAUACAGUGGCGGUCCCGCCGCAGCUUCCAUUGCGUAGUAGCUAACACCUCGCAACUGGAGAGCGGCGCGGCCAUGCCGUAAAACACCCAACUUCUGAAUGUUGACCUCGAAUCAGGUAGGAAUACCCGCUGAACUUAGCAU
Molecule: ribosomal RNA, 519 nt
Filed under: fungal sp. 9OMt12-1A
Lineage: Eukaryota; Fungi
Description: eukaryotic LSU rRNA
Rfam family: 5.8S ribosomal RNA (bases 151-304)
Source: RNAcentral